RNAcentral lists this ribosomal RNA (1056 nucleotides) under uncultured bacterium. RNAcentral's name for it is "bacterial SSU rRNA". It matches the Rfam family "Bacterial small subunit ribosomal RNA", at positions 336 to 1393 of the family's 1533-position model. The record is from RNAcentral.
CUCCUACGGGAGGCAGCAGUGAGGAAUAUUGGUCAAUGGGCGGAAGCUGAACCAGCCAAGUAGCGUGCAGGAAGACGGCCCUAUGGGUUGUAAACUGCUUUUAAGCGGGGAUAAAGUCAGGGACGUGUCCCUGUUUGCAGGUACCGCUUGAAUAAGGACCGGCUAAUUCCGUGCCAGCAGCCGCGGUAAUACGGAAGGUCCGGGCGUUAUCCGGAUUUAUUGGGUUUAAAGGGAGCGUAGGCGGGACUCCAAGUCAGCUGUGAAAUGCCGUGGCUCAACCAUGGCACUGCGGCGCGAACUGGAGGGCUUGAGUGCGCGGAAGGCAGGCGGAACUCGUGGUGUAGCGGUGAAAUGCUUAGAUAUCACGAAGAACUCCGAUUGCGAAGGCAGCCUGCCGCAGCGCAACUGACGCUGAGGCUCGAAAGCGCGGGUAUCGAACAGGAUUAGAUACCCUGGUAGUCCGCGCGGUAAACGAUGGAUGCCCGCCGUGGGGGAGUUAUUUUCCGCGGCCAAGCGAAAGCGUGUAAGCAUCCCACCUGGGGAGUACGCCGGCAACGGUGAAACUCAAAGGAAUUGACGGGGGCCCGCACAAGCGGAGGAACAUGUGGUUUAAUUCGAUGAUACGCGAGGAAGCUUAGGGGGGCUUGAAUUGCAGGAGAACGAUCGAGAGAUGGUGAGAGCCUUCGGGGCUCCUGUGAAGGUGCUGCAUGGUUGUCGUCAGCUCGUGCCGUGAGGUGUCGGCUCAAGUGCCAUAACGAGCGCAACCCCCGCCCGCAGUUGCCAUCGGGUGAUGCCGGGCACUCUGCGGGGACUGCCGCCGCAAGGUGCGAGGAAGGCGGGGACGACGUCAAAUCAGCACGGCCCUUACGUCCGGGGCUACACACGUGUUACAAUGGGGUGUACAGAGUGUUGUGCCCGCGCAAGCGGGUUCGAAUCAUGAAAGCACCCCUCAGUUCGGACUGGGGUCUGCAACCCGACCCCACGAAGCUGGAUUCGCUAGUAAUCGCGCAUCAGCCAUGGCGCGGUGAAUACGUUCCCGGGUCUUGUACACACCGC